CGGUGUCUUCGGACCGUGGCGGACGGGUGAGUAACGCUUGAGAAUCUAGCUUCAGGUCUGGGACAACCACUGGAAACGGUGGCUAAUACCGGAUGUGCCGAGAGGUGAAAGAUUAAUUGCCUGAAGAUGAGCUCGCGUCUGAUUAGCUAGUAGGUGUGGUAAGAGCGCACCUAGGCGACGAUCAGUAGCUGGUCUGAGAGGAUGAUCAGCCACACUGGGACUGAGACACGGCCCAGACUCCUACGGGAGGCAGCAGUGGGGAAUUUUCCGCAAUGGGCGAAAGCCUGACGGAGCAAUACCGCGUGAGGGAGGAAGGCUCUUGGGUUGUAAACCUCUUUUCUCAGGGAAGAACACAAUGACGGUACCUGAGGAAUCAGCAUCGGCUAACUCCGUGCCAGCAGCCGCGGUAAUACGGAGGAUGCAAGCGUUAUCCGGAAUGAUUGGGCGUAAAGCGUCCGCAGGUGGUGAUGUAAGUCUGCUGUCAAAGCGUCUAGCUCAACUAGAUACAGGCAGUGGAAACUACAUGACUAGAGUGCGUUCGGGGCAGAGGGAAUUCCUGGUGUAGCGGUGAAAUGCGUAGAUAUCAGGAAGAACACCGGUGGGCGAAAGCGCUCUGCUAGGCCGCAACUGACACUGAGGGRACGAAAGCUAAGGGGAGCGAAUGGGGAUUAGAUACCCCAAGUAGUCCUAGCCGUAAACGAUGGAUAACUAGGGGGUGGCUUGGUAUCGCACCC
Molecule: ribosomal RNA, 734 nt
Filed under: Nostoc sp. NDUPC004
Lineage: Bacteria; Bacillati; Cyanobacteriota; Cyanophyceae; Nostocales; Nostocaceae
Description: bacterial SSU rRNA
Rfam family: Bacterial small subunit ribosomal RNA
Source: RNAcentral